This is a non-coding RNA of Rattus norvegicus (Norway rat), 63 nucleotides long. The record is from Rfam. Lineage: Eukaryota; Metazoa; Chordata; Mammalia; Rodentia; Muridae.
GGGGAUUUAGCUCAGUGGUAGAGCGCUUGCCUAGCAAGUGCAAGGUCCCGGGUUCAGUCCCCA